RNAcentral lists this ribosomal RNA (483 nucleotides) under uncultured bacterium. RNAcentral's name for it is "partial 16S ribosomal RNA". It matches the Rfam family "Bacterial small subunit ribosomal RNA", at positions 30 to 507 of the family's 1533-position model. The record is from RNAcentral.
UUGAACGCUGGCGGCAGGCCUAACACAUGCAAGUCGCGCGGAUGAAGGGAGCUUGCUCCUGGAUUCAGCGGCGGACGGGUGAGUAAUGCCUAGGAAUCUGCCUGGUAGUGGGGGAUAACGUCCGGAAACGGGCGCUAAUACCGCAUACGUCCUGAGGGAGGAAGUGGGGGAUCUUCGGACCUCACGCUCUCAGAUGAGCCUAGGUCGGAUUAGCUAGUUGGUGGGGUAAAGGCCUACCAAGGCGACGAUCCGUAACUGGUCUGAGAGGAUGAUCAGUCACACUGGAACUGAGACACGGUCCAGACUCCUACGGGAGGCAGCAGUGGGGAAUAUUGGACAAUGGGCGAAAGCCUGAUCCAGCCAUGCCGCGUGUGUGAAGAAGGUCUUCGGAUUGUAAAGCACUUUAAGUUGGGAGGAAGGGCAGUAAGUUAAUACCUUGCUGUUUUGACGUUACCAACAGAAUAAGCACCGGCUAACUUCGUG